ACACAUGCAGCCGAGCGGUAGAGAUCUUUCGGGAUCUUGAGAGCGGCGUACGGGUGCGGAACACGUGUGCAACCUGCCUUUAUCAGGGGGAUAGCCUUUCGAAAGGAAGAUUAAUACCCCAUAAUAUAUUGAGUGGCAUCACUUAAUAUUGAAAACUCCGGUGGAUAGAGAUGGGCACGCGCAAGAUUAGAUAGUUGGUGAGGUAACGGCUCACCAAGUCUGCGAUCUUUAGGGGGCCUGAGAGGGUGAUCCCCCACACUGGUACUGAGACACGGACCAGACUCCUACGGGAGGCAGCAGUGAGGAAUAUUGGACAAUGGGUGCGAGCCUGAUCCAGCCAUCCCGCGUGAAGGACGACGGCCCUAUGGGUUGUAAACUUCUUUUGUAUAGGGAUAAACCUACUCUCGUGAGAGUAGCUGAAGGUACUAUACGAAUAAGCACCGGCUAACUCCGUGCCAGCAGCCGCGGUAAUACGGAGGGUGCAAGCGUUAUCCGGAUUUAUUGGGUUUAAAGGGUCCGUAGCGGAUCUGUAAGUCAGUGGUGAAAUCUCACAGCUUAACUGUGAAACUGCCAUUGAUACUGCAGGUCUUGAGUGUUGUUGAAGUAGCUGGAAUAAGUAGUGUAGCGGUGAAAUGCAUAGAUAUUACUUAGAACACCAAUUGCGCGCAGGUACUAAGCAACAACUGACCCUGAUGACGAAAGCGUGGGGGAGGCGACAGAUAGAA
Molecule: ribosomal RNA, 725 nt
Filed under: uncultured bacterium
Lineage: Bacteria
Description: bacterial SSU rRNA
Rfam family: Bacterial small subunit ribosomal RNA
Source: RNAcentral